UGCCAGCAGCCGCGGUAAUACGGAGGGUGCAAGCGUUAAUCGGAAUUACUGGGCGUAAAGCGCGCGUAGGUGGUCUGUUAAGUCGGAUGUGAAAUCCCCGGGCUCAACCUGGGAACUGCAUCCAAAACUGAUUCACUAGAGUACGAUAGAGGGAGGUAGAAUUCACAGUGUAGCGGUGGAAUGCGUAGAUAUUGUAAAGAAUACCAAUGGCGAAGGCAGCCUCCUGGAUCUGUACUGACACUGAGGUGCGAAAGCGUGGGUAGCGAACAGGAUUAGAUA
This 279-nucleotide ribosomal RNA is filed under the name uncultured bacterium. RNAcentral's name for it is "partial 16S ribosomal RNA". It matches the Rfam family "Bacterial small subunit ribosomal RNA", at positions 506 to 784 of the family's 1533-position model. The record is from RNAcentral.